GCUCUGAUAGUGUAGUGGCCAAUCAUUCGGCCCUUUCGAGGCCGACACUCGGGUUCGAAUCCCGAUCAGAGCA
This 73-nucleotide transfer RNA is filed under the name Candidatus Methanoplasma sp. Its description in RNAcentral is "tRNA-Glu". It matches the Rfam family "tRNA". From Rfam's summary of the family: Transfer RNA (tRNA) molecules are approximately 80 nucleotides in length. Their secondary structure includes four short double-helical elements and three loops (D, anti-codon, and T loops). The record is from RNAcentral. Lineage: Archaea; Methanobacteriati; Thermoplasmatota; Thermoplasmata; Methanomassiliicoccales; Methanomassiliicoccaceae.